GACGAACGCUGGCGGCGUGCUUAACACAUGCAAGUCGAACGGAAAGGCCCUGCUUUUGUGGGGUGCUCGAGUGGCGAACGGGUGAGUAACACGUGAGUAACCUGCCCUUGACUUUGGGAUAACUUCAGGAAACUGGGGCUAAUACCGGAUAGGAGCUCCUGCUGCAUGGUGGGGGUUGGAAAGUUUCGGCGGUUGGGGAUGGACUCGCGGCUUAUCAGCUUGUUGGUGGGGUAGUGGCUUACCAAGGCUUUGACGGGUAGCCGGCCUGAGAGGGUGACCGGCCACAUUGGGACUGAGAUACGGCCCAGACUCCUACGGGAGGCAGCAGUGGGGAAUAUUGCACAAUGGGCAGAAGCCUGAUGCAGCAACGCCGCGUGCGGGAGGACGGCCUUCGGGUGGUAAACCGCUUUCGCCUGUGACGAAGCGUGAGUGACGGUAAUGGGGAAAGAAGCACCGGCUAACUACGU
This 467-nucleotide ribosomal RNA is filed under the name uncultured bacterium. RNAcentral describes it as "partial 16S ribosomal RNA". It matches the Rfam family "Bacterial small subunit ribosomal RNA", at positions 28 to 506 of the family's 1533-position model. The record is from RNAcentral.